UGGAUCCAGACUUUGAUUCUGGCUCAGGAUGAACGCUAGCUACAGGCUUAACACAUGCAAGUCGAGGGGAAACGACAUCGAAAGCUUGCUUUUGAUGGGCGUCGACCGGCGCACGGGUGAGUAACGCGUAUCCAACCUGCCCAUCACUUGGGGAUAACCUUGCGAAAGUAAGACUAAUACCCAAUGACGUCUCUAGAAGACAUCUGAAAGAGAUUAAAGAUUUAUCGGUGAUGGAUGGGGAUGCGUCUGAUUAGCUUGUUGGCGGGGUAACGGCCCACCAAGGCUACGAUCAGUAGGGGUUCUGAGAGGAAGGUCCCCCACAUUGGAACUGAGACACGGUCCAAACUCCUACGGGAGGCAGCAGUGAGGAAUAUUGGUCAAUGGACGAGAGUCUGAACCAGCCAAGUAGCGUGCAGGAUGACGGCCCUAUGGGUUGUAAACUGCUUUUAUAAGGGAAUAAGGUGAGUCUCGUGAGACUUUUUGCAUGUACCUUAUGAAUAAGGACCGGCUAAUUCCGUGCCAGCAGCCGCGGUAAUACGGAAGGUCCGGGCGUUAUCCGGAUUUAUUGGGUUUAAAGGGAGCGUAGGCCGGAGAUUAAGCGUGUUGUGAAAUGUAGAUGCUCAACAUCUGCACUGCAGCGCGAACUGGUUUCCUUGAGUACGCACAAAGUGGGCGGAAUUCGUGGUGUAGCGGUGAAAUGCUUAGAUAUCACGAAGAACUCCGAUUGCGAAGGCAGCUCACUGGAGCGCAACUGACGCUGAAGCUCGAAAGUGCGGGUAUCGAACAGGAUUAGAUACCCUGGUAGUCCGCACGGUAAACGAUGGAUGCCCGCUGUUGGUCUGAAUAGGUCAGCGGCCAAGCGAAAGCAUUAAGCAUCCCACCUGGGGAGUACGCCGGCAACGGUGCAACUCAAAUGAAUUGACGGA
Molecule: ribosomal RNA, 926 nt
Filed under: uncultured bacterium
Lineage: Bacteria
Also listed under: 1 other name
Description: bacterial SSU rRNA
Rfam family: Bacterial small subunit ribosomal RNA
Source: RNAcentral